This 66-nucleotide ribosomal RNA is filed under the name Pulvigera lyellii. RNAcentral's name for it is "partial 5.8S ribosomal RNA". RNAcentral also lists the same sequence under 8 other names. Lineage: Eukaryota; Viridiplantae; Streptophyta; Bryopsida; Orthotrichales; Orthotrichaceae. The record is from RNAcentral.
UCAUCGAGUCUUUGAACGCAAGUUGCGCCCGAGGCUUGUCCGAGGGCAUUUCCGCUAGAGCGUCAC